GACGAACGCUGGCGGCGUGCUUAACACAUGCAAGUCGAACGCUGAAGCUCAGCUUUUGUUGGGUGGAUGAGUGGCGAACGGGUGAGUAACACGUGAGUAACCUGCCUCCUUCUUUGGGAUAACGCCCGGAAACGGGUGCUAAUACUGGAUAUUCACUGGUCUUCGCAUGGGGGUUGGUGGAAAGGGUUUUUCUGGUGGGGGAUGGGCUCGCGGCCUAUCAGCUUGUUGGUGGGGUGAUGGCCCACCAAGGCUUUGACGGGUAGCCGGCCUGAGAGGGUGACCGGUCACAUUGGGACUGAGAUACGGCCCAGACUCCUACGGGAGGCAGCAGUGGGGAAUAUUGCACAAUGGGCGCAAGCCUGAUGCAGCGACGCCGCGUGAGGGAUGGAGGCCUUCGGGUUGUGAACCUCUUUCGCUCAUGGUCAAGCCGCAACAAUGGUUGUGGUGAGGGUAGUGGGUAAAGAAGCGCCGGCUAACUACGU
Molecule: ribosomal RNA, 482 nt
Filed under: uncultured bacterium
Lineage: Bacteria
Description: partial 16S ribosomal RNA
Rfam family: Bacterial small subunit ribosomal RNA
Source: RNAcentral